UACGUAGAGGGCGAGCGUUGUCCGGAAUCAUUGGGCGUAAAGCGCGUGUAGGCGGCUCGGUAAGUCUGCUGUGAAAGUCCAGGGCUCAACCCUGGAAUGCCGGUGGAUACUGUCGAGCUUGAGUCCGGAAGAGGCGAGUGGAAUUCCUGGUGUAGCGGUGAAAUGCGCAGAUAUCAGGAGGAACACCAAUGGCGAAGGCAGCUCGCUGGGACGUGACUGACGCUGAGACGCGAAAGCGUGGGGAGCAAACAGG
This 253-nucleotide ribosomal RNA is filed under the name uncultured bacterium. Its description in RNAcentral is "partial 16S ribosomal RNA". It matches the Rfam family "Bacterial small subunit ribosomal RNA", at positions 524 to 776 of the family's 1533-position model. The record is from RNAcentral.